GAUGAAGAACGUAGCGAAAUGCGAUAAGUAAUGUGAAUUGCAGAAUUCAGUGAAUCAUCGAAUCUUUGAACGCAUCUUGCGCUCCUUGGUAUUCUGAGGAGCAUGCCUGUUUGAGUGUCAUUAAAUUCUCAACUACACUGACUUUGAAUUGGUGUGGCUUGGAUUUGGGGGGGAAAAUUGUUGUGGGCUUUUUGUAUAGUCUGCUCCCCUGAAAUUGAUUAGCGGUACCUUUGUGGAACUGUCUACAGGUGUGAUAAUUAUCUACAUCCUAGACAUCUGCUGGAAUGCUGCUUUCUAAACCUUACUUGUAUUGACAAUCUUGACCUCAAAUCAGGUAGGACUACCCGCUGAACUUAAGCAUAUAAUAAGCGGAGGA
Molecule: unclassified non-coding RNA, 376 nt
Filed under: soil metagenome
Description: partial contains 5.8S ribosomal RNA, internal transcribed spacer 2, and large subunit ribosomal RNA
Rfam family: 5.8S ribosomal RNA (bases 1-120)
Source: RNAcentral